RNAcentral lists this ribosomal RNA (1105 nucleotides) under uncultured organism. RNAcentral describes it as "bacterial SSU rRNA". It matches the Rfam family "Bacterial small subunit ribosomal RNA", at positions 333 to 1451 of the family's 1533-position model. The record is from RNAcentral.
AGACUCCUACGGGAGGCAGCAGUGGGGAAUUUUCCGCAGUGGGCGAAAGCCUGACGGAGCAAGACCGCGUGAGGGAGGAAGGCUCUUGGGUUGUAAACCUCUUUUCUCAGGGAAGAAGCUCUGACGGUACCUGAGGAAUCAGCCUCGGCUAACUCCGUGCCAGCAGCCGCGGUAAUACGGAGGAGGCAAGCGUUAUCCGGAAUUAUUGGGCGUAAAGCGUCCGCAGGUGGCGAUUCAAGUCUGCUGUCAAAGCACGGGGCUUAACUCCGUUAAGGCAGUGGAAACUGAAUAGCUAGAGUGCCGUAGGGGUAGAGGGAAUUCCCGGUGUAGCGGUGAAAUGCGUAGAGAUCGGGAAGAACAUCGGUGGCGAAAGCGCUCUACUGGACGGCAACUGACACUCAGGGACGAAAGCUAGGGGAGCGAAUGGGAUUAGAUACCCCAGUAGUCCUAGCUGUAAACGAUGGAUACUAGGUGUAGCUUGUAUCGACCCGAGCUGUGCCGAAGCUAACGCGUUAAGUAUCCCGCCUGGGGAGUACGCACGCAAGUGUGAAACUCAAAGGAAUUGACGGGGGCCCGCACAAGCGGUGGAGUAUGUGGUUUAAUUCGAUGCAACGCGAAGAACCUUACCAGGGCUUGACAUGUCCGGAAUCCCGGUGAAAGCUGGGAGUGCCUUCGGGAGCCGGAACACAGGUGGUGCAUGGCUGUCGUCAGCUCGUGUCGUGAGAUGUUGGGUUAAGUCCCGCAACGAGCGCAACCCUCGUCUUUAGUUGCCAGCAUUAAGUUGGGCACUCUAGAGAGACUGCCGGUGACAAACCGGAGGAAGGUGGGGAUGACGUCAAGUCAGCAUGCCCCUUACGCUCUGGGCGACACACGUACUACAAUGGUCGGGACAGAGGGCAGCGAACCUGCGAAGGCAAGCUAAUCCCAGCAAACUCGGCCUCAGUUCAGAUCGCAGGCUGCAACUCGCCUGCGUGAAGGAGGAAUCGCUAGUAAUCGCCGGUCAGAAUACGGCGGUGAAUCCGUUCCCGGGCCUUGUACACACCGCCCGUCACACCAUGGAAGCUGGCCACGCCCGAAGUCGUUACCCUAACCUUUCGGGGAAGGG